This 117-nucleotide microRNA precursor is filed under the name Solanum lycopersicum (tomato). RNAcentral's name for it is "miR6024 stem-loop (sly-MIR6024)". The stretch from base 9 to 106 matches the Rfam family "MIR6024 microRNA precursor family". The record is from miRBase by way of RNAcentral. Lineage: Eukaryota; Viridiplantae; Streptophyta; Magnoliopsida; Solanales; Solanaceae.
AACUGGAAAUGGGGAAGUGGAGAAACAACACUUGCUAAAGGAAGUUCACCAGUCAUCUCUUUUCUUUUGGAGUUUUUUUAGCAAGAGUUGUUUUACCUCUUCUCAAUUCCGUCUCUC